RNAcentral lists this unclassified non-coding RNA (710 nucleotides) under Hevea brasiliensis (rubber tree). The record is from RNAcentral. Lineage: Eukaryota; Viridiplantae; Streptophyta; Magnoliopsida; Malpighiales; Euphorbiaceae.
AAGAAACCCAGACCAGAGGCACCAUAUAAAGCGAGAGCAAGUGUUACCCACUUUUUACUUACUACGGACUUUCACUUUGAGGGCCCAGUAGAUCUUUCCUUCAGGCAAGGGGAUCGACUUUGGAAAGCGAAGCGGUACUUCAUAUUCACCACAUGUGGACAGGGGGGAUGGUAAAUUCAGAUUUUCGGGCGCAAUUUGAACAGAAAAUUGUCGUGCCACCUCAGCAACAAUGUCAUCUACUGUCACAGAAGAUUGCAAAGUUAAGGGCUCGUCUUUUGUAGCACGAGUACGAAACUUUUCCUUGUCAAUUAACCUCCUCAACACCAGCUGAAUACUAUCCAGACGUUUUGCUGCCUUUUCAUAUUCUUUCAUCUUAUCCUCCUUCGUCACCAUUACAACCUUAACGACCUCUUCGUCAACUGGUUGGUAAAUCCUGCGUUGCUCCUUGAUCAGAUAAGCAUACUUGUCAAUGUUUGGAACAGCCAACAACUUGGGCAUAAGAUGGUUCCGAAAGUAUCCAGGGGCAACCUUAACCGUCUCUCCAGCUUUCCCAAGCUUCUCAAUGCUUGUUGUCAGAAUAACUUCCAACUUCCUAUGUCUAACUCCCUGACUCGAGAAUAACAAUGGCUGCAUCAUUUGAUCAGAAGGGUGAAGCCUGGUAUUUUUAAUAAUUUUCUGGAGUGCAUUUCUACCAUACUAUUUUUUACUCA